UUGUCGACGAGCUUCUCGAUCGGCGCGGGUGAGUCGGAGCCCGGGGCGUUGGGCACGAGGUUAUCCUCGCGGAGCAUGCCGACAGCCUCUAUGGCGAGGUAAGGGCACACGCCGUCAGCUCCGAAUCCCGUCAGGGUGCAAAAGUGGUGCACGUCCCUCGCCUCGGCGCUGUCGAGCAGGAUGGCGACGCGCGUGCGCUCGAGCUUCUGCACGAGGUGGUGGUGCACGGCUCCGCACGAGAGGAGGGAGGACACGGCGACUCGGCUUGGUCCCUGAGCGCGAUCGGAGAUGACCACGCAAGCGACGCCAUCCGCCACGGCUGCGGAAGCCUCCAAUGCGAGCCUGUCGAGCGUCCUCUCGAGCCCCGCGGUGCCCUCAUUGACGUCGUAGGUGGCGUCAAGGACGCGACUGGUCCAGCCCAUGUGGUCCAUGGACUUGAUCGCCUCCAUCUGCUCGACGGUGAGCAGCGGGGACCUUAGCCUCAGCCUGU
This 490-nucleotide long non-coding RNA is filed under the name Micromonas commoda. RNAcentral's name for it is "long non-coding RNA (MCOM_LNC000228)". The record is from RNAcentral. Lineage: Eukaryota; Viridiplantae; Chlorophyta; Mamiellophyceae; Mamiellales; Mamiellaceae.